UGCGUACGAAUCGCUCCCGCAAAUCCGCAUCCUCGUCGUUAGGGUUUGGAGGGGCGGGGAAUCGGAGCUCGGCGGGGUCGCCGGAGGGGAGACACGAGAGGCGGCGUUGGCGGCGGCGGCGGCGGCGGCGGCGGCGGCGGCGGAGGUGGAGGAAGGGGAUCGGAGGAGGAGUGGGCAUGAGGAAGAUGCGGCGAUAAUUAGAGGAGAAUGAGGAGGUGGAGAUUGCCGUUGCCAGGGCCAUCGCCAUUGGAGGAGGGACGAA
This 262-nucleotide long non-coding RNA is filed under the name Ananas comosus (pineapple). Its description in RNAcentral is "long non-coding RNA (ACOM_LNC022638)". Lineage: Eukaryota; Viridiplantae; Streptophyta; Magnoliopsida; Poales; Bromeliaceae. The record is from RNAcentral.